GACGAACGCUGGCGGCGUGCUUAACACAUGCAAGUCGAACGGAAAGGCCCCUUUGGGGGUACUCGAGUGUCGAACGGGUGAGUAACACGUGAGUAACCUUCCCUUGACUUCGGGAUAACUUCAGGUAACUGGGGCUAAUACCGGUUAGGAAUCCUUUUUGCAUGGGGGGGGUUGGAAAGCUUCGGCGGUUAUGGAUGGACUCGCGGCUUAUCUGCUUGCUGGUGUGGUAGUGGCUUACCAAGGCUUUGACGGGUAGCAGGCCUGAGAGGGCGACCCGCCACAUUGAGACUGAGAUGCGGCCCCGACUCCGACGGGAGGCAGCAGUGGGGAAUCCUGCACAAUGAGCGGAGGCCGGAUGCAGCAGCGCCGCGGGCCGGAUGACGGCCUUCGGGUUGUAGACCGCUUUCAGCAGGAGCGAAGCUUGUGGUGACGGUACCUGCAGAAAAAGCACCGGCUAACUACGUG
RNAcentral lists this ribosomal RNA (465 nucleotides) under uncultured bacterium. RNAcentral describes it as "partial 16S ribosomal RNA". It matches the Rfam family "Bacterial small subunit ribosomal RNA", at positions 28 to 507 of the family's 1533-position model. The record is from RNAcentral.